RNAcentral lists this ribosomal RNA (507 nucleotides) under uncultured bacterium. RNAcentral describes it as "bacterial SSU rRNA". It matches the Rfam family "Bacterial small subunit ribosomal RNA", at positions 975 to 1482 of the family's 1533-position model. The record is from RNAcentral.
CUGGUCUUGACAUCCACGGAAGUUUUCAGAGAUGAGAAUGUGCCUUCGGGAACCGUGAGACAGGUGCUGCAUGGCUGUCGUCAGCUCGUGUUGUGAAAUGUUGGGUUAAGUCCCGCAACGAGCGCAACCCUUAUCCUUUGUUGCCAGCGGUCCGGCCGGGAACUCAAAGGAGACUGCCAGUGAUAAACUGGAGGAAGGUGGGGAUGACGUCAAGUCAUCAUGGCCCUUACGACCAGGGCUACACACGUGCUACAAUGGCGCAUACAAAGAGAAGCGACCUCGCGAGAGCAAGCGGACCUCAUAAAGUGCGUCGUAGUCCGGAUUGGAGUCUGCAACUCGACUCCAUGAAGUCGGAAUCGCUAGUAAUCGUGGAUCAGAAUGCCACGGUGAAUACGUUCCCGGGCCUUGUACACGCCGCCCGUCACACCAUGGGAGUGGGUUGCAAAAGAAGUAGGUAGCUUAACCUUCGGGAGGGCGCUUACCACUUUGUGGUUCAUGACUGGGGUG